This is a long non-coding RNA of Panthera uncia (snow leopard), 261 nucleotides long. RefSeq lists it as uncharacterized. Lineage: Eukaryota; Metazoa; Chordata; Mammalia; Carnivora; Felidae. The transcript has 3 exons. The record is from RefSeq and is a predicted model, not a curated record.
CCGGCAGUACCGAGAUGGAAAUGUUGAGGCAGUGAUCCGCGCCAGGAGCUGCUACCGGCAGCACGUAGCCCAGGACUGAGCGGCAAAGGUGGCAAACCUACGGAUGGUGUGUGGAGAGAAGGUGGGCAGUCGCGUUCUGUUGGGAUCCUGCCUUCCAAGGCUUCACUCAGUACAUCGCAGAGCUCAGAACAGAGCGGCUGCGCCUGGCGUAUCCCCAAUAACAGCAGGCGGAAGCGACUCUGGAGGGCAGCUUGGAGAUGU